CUGUGCUCCAGGAAGAAAUAUGUUUCUCAUCAUUUAUAAAACCUGCAUGCAUUUGUAGGCAUGGGUACACACCCACACUCGCGCUCUUGUUCUCUAGCUUGUCUCCUAUCCAUUAUCUCAGGGGGACUGUCUAUUCAAUUCCACAGGUGACACUGAUAGUGUGGUGUGGUGUGGUGUGCUGCGCUUGGCUAAGCCCAUCUCCUCACAAGCCUAACCUGUGAUCCUGUGAUGUGAUAGUUAGCUGCAAUGUUUACUGGCUCAACAAAGAGCCUAUUAUCUGCCUGAUAGUUUCUGUCUUGUCAUUUCCUCUGCAAAUGUCAAACGUUGAGGGAGUCACAAAAAGGCUGACUGCUGUGCAGAGACCUGAAUAUGAAAGUUGCCAGUAGAGACAGGAGUCAGCAAUUUGCUCUGCUUCUCUGGCUUAAAGGUUUUAGCAUUUAGCAAGAACAGAUCAAAUGUACAGUAUGUCCAUACAUCCAUUUUCUGUACCAUUUAUCCUACACAGGGCUGCAGGGAUCCUGUCCCAAGGAACUUGGGGCACAAGGCAGGGGAUACCCUGGACGGGGUGCUAACCCCUUGCAGGGCACAACUCCACACAUGCUCAUUCACACACUACAGACAAUUUAGAGAUGCCAAUCAGCCUACAACAUGUCUUUGGAGUAGGGGAGGAAACAGGAUUACCCAGGGAAACCCCCUAAAGCACAGGGAGAACAUGCAAAAUCUGUGCACACAGGGCGGAGCACGCUGUCCACCGACUGACUCAGUGCCUCUUAGUAAUGGUUUAUGUGUUUUUUGGAGCUGGAACAUGAAGCAGAGCUCCUUCCUGACAGUGUGUUGGAGAGUUGGAGAGGUGCAGUUACUUCACAUCACCUGCUUAGCACAACACGGGACUGCAAUGGAAAGGAAAUGGGUCAGUGGGCUGUGAUGAGACAACCCACAUACUGUCAAGCAUCACCAUGUCUACAGUACACUGAGGACAUAUUCAGCUUCAGAAGAGGAAUUCAGCUGUAAGCAUUUCAUCAUAUUGUCUGCAGUGGAAGAUAAUGACAUGGGAAGUGUUCUUGUUCUUAGUGAUCUUCUAAACCUCUGGUGUUGUUUACAAAACAUGCCACGCAGCAAGCAUCUUUGGAGAAGGACUGUUUUGGAGCCAUCAUGGCCCGGAGAUACAACCAAUCAGCACCAACCAGCAUCUGUAAUGUUCCAACUGAAAAAAAAAAACGUGAACUCACUGUGCAUUUUUUUUCCCUCUCCAAAACACAUCAGUGCUUGUUGACAUCAUCUUAAUUGCUGCACUAAUAGUGAAAGCUUUAUUGUGUACUCCAUUUCUAUAGCCUUGCUUUAUUUAUAGGGGCCUUUACACAGAAUUUUACUUGAAUGUUACAUAUUUAUACCUUAAUGACCAAUUUUUCUCGGAAAUAGAUGUGCACAUACUGGUCCCUUUGCCAGGUAAACCUACCACAUACAGUAUUUGUACUUUUGUAAUGUAUACAGUUACUGCCUGGAGCACAAACUGUGUGUGCUACACACAAUUGUCAACCAUGUUGUGUAUUCAUUCCAGCAUCACACGCACACUAACAUGGAUCCUUUUCAUGGUUGAAAGGUGGGGAGAGUGGGGUCGUUAUUGGGUAACCCUUCUAUGAAUGUAAAUGAGCUUCAGUAGUGUGUGAGAUGUUAGUAUCUCACACACUAGUAUUCUAUCAUUUAUUAUCAGUAACCUCUUAGAGUCGAAUAUGAAUAUAAAACCACUCAUAAAAAAAAAAAUAAAAUAAAAAAUAAAAACAAUUUUAUGAGUUUAACAUGAUGGUGCACAGAUGUUGUACUCGCUGUAUAAAAGUUUUGCAACUUCCUUGGAACUCUUUGUACAUCAUUUAUUUAUCUAUAAUCACAGACAUUUAUUUGAGUGUUAUGUUUGAACACAGUUGGCCACUGAGCGAAAGAGAGAAAACCAUGUGAAGUGCUCAGUGAUCAUCACCAGAACAUAUGACAUGAU
Ictalurus furcatus (blue catfish) is the source of this 1990-nucleotide long non-coding RNA. RefSeq lists it as uncharacterized. The record is from RefSeq and is a predicted model, not a curated record. The transcript is spliced from 3 exons. Lineage: Eukaryota; Metazoa; Chordata; Actinopteri; Siluriformes; Ictaluridae.